UACGAAGGGUGCAAACGUUGCUCGGAAUUAUUGGGCGUAAAGCGCACGUAGGCGGCUCUGCAAGUCGGAUGUGAAAUCCCUCGGCUUAACCAAGGAAGUGCAUCCGAAACUGCAGAGCUUGAGUACUUAAGAGGAUCGCGGAAUUCCCGGUGUAGAGGUGAAAUUCGUAGAUAUCGGGAGGAACACCAGUGGCGAAGGCGGCGAUCUGGGAAGAUACUGACGCUGAGGUGCGAAAGCGUGGGGAGCAAACAGG
This 253-nucleotide ribosomal RNA is filed under the name uncultured bacterium. RNAcentral describes it as "partial 16S ribosomal RNA". It matches the Rfam family "Bacterial small subunit ribosomal RNA", at positions 524 to 776 of the family's 1533-position model. The record is from RNAcentral.